Molecule: ribosomal RNA, 500 nt
Filed under: Salmonella enterica
Lineage: Bacteria; Pseudomonadati; Pseudomonadota; Gammaproteobacteria; Enterobacterales; Enterobacteriaceae
Description: partial 23S ribosomal RNA
Rfam family: Bacterial large subunit ribosomal RNA
Source: RNAcentral
GACCGAACCGACUAAUGUUGAAAAAUUAGCGGAUGACCUGUGGCUGGGGGUGAAAGGCCAAUCAAACCGGGAGAUAGCUGGUUCUCCCCGAAAGCUAUUUAGGUAGCGCCUCGUGAAUUCAUCUCCGGGGGUAGAGCACUGUUUCGGCUAGGGGGCCAUCCCGGCUUACCAACCCGAUGCAAACUGCGAAUACCGGAGAAUGUUAUCACGGGAGACACACGGCGGGUGCUAACGUCCGUCGUGAAGAGGGAAACAACCCAGACCGCCAGCUAAGGUCCCAAAGUCAUGGUUAAGUGGGAAACGAUGUGGGAAGGCCCAGACAGCCAGGAUGUUGGCUUAGAAGCAGCCAUCAUUUAAAGAAAGCGUAAUAGCUCACUGGUCGAGUCGGCCUGCGCGGAAGAUGUAACGGGGCUAAACCAUGCACCGAAGCUGCGGCAGCGACACUGUGUGUUGUUGGGUAGGGGAGCGUUCUGUAAGCCUGUGAAGGUGUGUCGUGAGGC